UUUUCGCAAUGCCCGAAAGGGUGACGAAGCGACGCCGCGUGGGUGAGGAAGGCCUUCGGGUUGUAAAACCCUGUCAGGAGUUAUGAAAUGUAAGUGCGCUAAUAUCGUGCUUAUUUGACAAAGGCUCCAAAGGAAGCCACGGCUAACUCUGUGCCAGCAGCCGCGGUAAUACAGAGGUGGCGAGCGUUGUUCGGAAUUAUUGGGCGUAAAGAGCACGUAGGUGGGUUUGCAAGUCAGAUGUGAAAGCCUUCUGUUCAACGGAAGAAUUGCAUCUGAAACUGCUAAUCUUGAGUAUAGGAGGGGAGAAUGGAACUUCUGGUGGAGCGGUGAAAUGCGUAGAUAUCAGAAGGAACGCCGGCGGCGAAAGCGAUUCUCUGGCCUAUUACUGACACUCAGUGUGCGAAAGCUAGGGGAGCAAACGGGAUUAGAUACCCCGGUAGUCCUAGCUGUAAACGAUGGGCACUAAGUAGAGGGGUU
This 477-nucleotide ribosomal RNA is filed under the name uncultured anaerobic ammonium-oxidizing bacterium. RNAcentral's name for it is "bacterial SSU rRNA". It matches the Rfam family "Bacterial small subunit ribosomal RNA", at positions 363 to 830 of the family's 1533-position model. The record is from RNAcentral.